UUAUUCAAUUGCAGUCCUGCUUUGGCACAACUGGGACAGAAUGGAGCAAAAUAAAAAAGUACUGUAACUAACGAAAUUAGAGUCACAAUGCCUUUGUCAAGAACAUAAUCUCUUGGGUUGCCUAAGACUAAAUCCAUGGCAAGGUGUGAUGAUACUUAA
This 159-nucleotide long non-coding RNA is filed under the name Pogona vitticeps (central bearded dragon). RNAcentral's name for it is "lncRNA (ENSPVIG00000022289.1)". The record is from RNAcentral. Lineage: Eukaryota; Metazoa; Chordata; Lepidosauria; Squamata; Agamidae.